This 542-nucleotide ribosomal RNA is filed under the name uncultured bacterium. Its description in RNAcentral is "bacterial SSU rRNA". It matches the Rfam family "Bacterial small subunit ribosomal RNA", at positions 660 to 1216 of the family's 1533-position model. The record is from RNAcentral.
AAUAGAUACCCUGGUAGUGGUGAAAUGCGUAGAUAUCGGGAGGAACACCAGUGGCGAAAGCGGCUCUCUGGGCCAUUCCUGACGCUCAGAUGCGAAAGCUAGGGGAGAGAACGGGAUUAGAAACCCCGGUAUUCCUAGCCGUAAACGAUGUCAACUAGGCGUAGGAGGUCAUUUACCCCUUCUGUGCCGUAGCUAACGCGUUAAGUUGACCGCCUGGGGACUACGGCCGCAAGGCUAAAACUCAAAGGAAUUGACGGGGACCCGCACAAGCAGCGGAGCGUGUGGUUUAAUUCGAGGCUACGCGAAGAACCUUACCAGGGCUUGACAUAUAGCUGGUAGUGAAUCGAAAGAGGAACGACCCUUCGGGGAGGCUAUACAGGUGCUGCAUGGCUGUCGUCAGCUCGUGCCGUGAGGUGUUCGGUUAAGUCCGAUAACGAGCGCAACCCUCAUCGUUAGUUACAAGUGUCUAGCGAGACUGCCGGUGAUAAGCCGGAGGAAGGUGGGAUGACGUCAAGUCAGCAUGGCCUUUAUGUCCUGGGCUA